RNAcentral lists this ribosomal RNA (478 nucleotides) under uncultured bacterium. RNAcentral describes it as "partial 16S ribosomal RNA". It matches the Rfam family "Bacterial small subunit ribosomal RNA", at positions 28 to 507 of the family's 1533-position model. The record is from RNAcentral.
GACGAACGCUGGCGGCGUGCUUAACACAUGCAAGUCGAACGGGAUUUAGUAGACAGAAGCCUCGGCUAAAGAUUACUAAUGAGAGUGGCGAACGGGGGAGUAACGCGUGAGCAACCUGCCUAUGACAGUGGGAUAGCCUCGGGAAACCGGGAUUAAUACCGCAUAAAAUCGUAGAAACACAUGUUUCAACGGUCAAAGAUUUAUCGGUCAUAGAUGGGCUCGCGUCUGAUUAGCUAGUUGGUGAGAUAACAGCCCACCAAGGCGACGAUCAGUAGCCGGUCUGAGAGGAUGAACGGCCACAUUGGAACUGAGACACGGUCCAAACUCCUACGGGAGGCAGCAGUGGGGAAUAUUGCACAAUGGCGGAAACCCUGAUGCAGCGACGCCGCGUGAACGAAGAAGGUAUUCGUAUCGUAAAGUUCUGUCCUAUGGGAAGAUAAUGACAGUACCAUAGAAGAAAGCUCCGGCUAAAUACGUG